AGCGUACACGGUGGAUGCCCUGGCAGUCAGAGGCGAUGAAGGACGUGCUAAUCUGCGAUAAGCGUCGGUAAGGUGAUAUGAACCGUUAUAACCGGCGAUUUCCGAAUGGGGAAACCCAGUGUGUUUCGACACACUAUCAUUAACUGAAUCCAUAGGUUAAUGAGGCGAACCGGGGGAACUGAAACAUCUAAGUACCCCGAGGAAAAGAAAUCAACCGAGAUUCCCCCAGUAGCGGCGAGCGAACGGGGAGCAGCCCAGAGCCUGAAUCAGUGUGUGUGUUAGUGGAAGCGUCUGGAAAGGCGCGCGAUACAGGGUGACAGCCCCGUACACAAAAAUGCACAUGCUGUGAGCUCGAUGAGUAGGGCGGGACACGUGGUAUCCUGUCUGAAUAUGGGGGGACCAUCCUCCAAGGCUAAAUACUCCUGACUGACCGAUAGUGAACCAGUACCGUGAGGGAAAGGCGAAAAGAACCCCGGCGAGGGGAGUGAAAAAGAACCUGAAACCGUGUACGUACAAGCAGUGGGAGCCUCUUUUAUGGGGUGACUGCGUACCUUUUGUAUAAUGGGUCAGCGACUUAUAUUCUGUAGCAAGGUUAACCGAAUAGGGGAGCCGAAGGGAAACCGAGUCUUAACUGGGCGUUAAGUUGCAGGGUAUAGACCCGAAACCCGGUGAUCUAGCCAUGGGCAGGUUGAAGGUUGGGUAACACUAACUGGAGGACCGAACCGACUAAUGUUGAAAAAUUAGCGGAUGACUUGUGGCUGGGGGUGAAAGGCCAAUCAAACCGGGAGAUAGCUGGUUCUCCCCGAAAGCUAUUUAGGUAGCGCCUCGUGAAUUCAUCUCCGGGGGUAGAGCACUGUUUCGGCAAGGGGGUCAUCCCGACUUACCAACCCGAUGCAAACUGCGAAUACCGGAGAAUGUUAUCACGGGAGACACACGGCGGGUGCUAACGUCCGUCGUGAAGAGGGAAACAACCCAGACCGCCAGCUAAGGUCCCAAAGUCAUGGUUAAGUGGGAAACGAUGUGGGAAGGCCCAGACAGCCAGGAUGUUGGCUUAGAAGCAGCCAUCAUUUAAAGAAAGCGUAAUAGCUCACUGGUCGAGUCGGCCUGCGCGGAAGAUGUAACGGGGCUAAACCAUGCACCGAAGCUGCGGCAGCGACGCUUAUGCGUUGUUGGGUAGGGGAGCGUUCUGUAAGCCUGCGAAGGUGUGCUGUGAGGCAUGCUGGAGGUAUCAGAAGUGCGAAUGCUGACAUAAGUAACGAUAAAGCGGGUGAAAAGCCCGCUCGCCGGAAGACCAAGGGUUCCUGUCCAACGUUAAUCGGGGCAGGGUGAGUCGACCCCUAAGGCGAGGCCGAAAGGCGUAGUCGAUGGGAAACAGGUUAAUAUUCCUGUACUUGGUGUUACUGCGAAGGGGGGACGGAGAAGGCUAUGUUGGCCGGGCGACGGUUGUCCCGGUUUAAGCGUGUAGGCUGGUUUUCCAGGCAAAUCCGGAAAAUCAAGGCUGAGGCGUGAUGACGAGGCACUACGGUGCUGAAGCAACAAAUGCCCUGCUUCCAGGAAAAGCCUCUAAGCAUCAGGUAACAUCAAAUCGUACCCCAAACCGACACAGGUGGUCAGGUAGAGAAUACCAAGGCGCUUGAGAGAACUCGGGUGAAGGAACUAGGCAAAAUGGUGCCGUAACUUCGGGAGAAGGCACGCUGAUAUGUAGGUGAAGUCCCUCGCGGAUGGAGCUGAAAUCAGUCGAAGAUACCAGCUGGCUGCAACUGUUUAUUAAAAACACAGCACUGUGCAAACACGAAAGUGGACGUAUACGGUGUGACGCCUGCCCGGUGCCGGAAGGUUAAUUGAUGGGGUUAGCGCAAGCGAAGCUCUUGAUCGAAGCCCCGGUAAACGGCGGCCGUAACUAUAACGGUCCUAAGGUAGCGAAAUUCCUUGUCGGGUAAGUUCCGACCUGCACGAAUGGCGUAAUGAUGGCCAGGCUGUCUCCACCCGAGACUCAGUGAAAUUGAACUCGCUGUGAAGAUGCAGUGUACCCGCGGCAAGACGGAAAGACCCCGUGAACCUUUACUAUAGCUUGACACUGAACAUUGAGCCUUGAUGUGUAGGAUAGGUGGGAGGCUUUGAAGUGUGGACGCCAGUCUGCAUGGAGCCGACCUUGAAAUACCACCCUUUAAUGUUUGAUGUUCUAACGUGGACCCGUAAUCCGGGUUGCGGACAGUGUCUGGUGGGUAGUUUGACUGGGGCGGUCUCCUCCUAAAGAGUAACGGAGGAGCACGAAGGUUGGCUAAUCCUGGUCGGACAUCAGGAGGUUAGUGCAAUGGCAUAAGCCAGCUUGACUGCGAGCGUGACGGCGCGAGCAGGUGCGAAAGCAGGUCAUAGUGAUCCGGUGGUUCUGAAUGGAAGGGCCAUCGCUCAACGGAUAAAAGGUACUCCGGGGAUAACAGGCUGAUACCGCCCAAGAGUUCAUAUCGACGGCGGUGUUUGGCACCUCGAUGUCGGCUCAUCACAUCCUGGGGCUGAAGUAGGUCCCAAGGGUAUGGCUGUUCGCCAUUUAAAGUGGUACGCGAGCUGGGUUUAGAACGUCGUGAGACAGUUCGGUCCCUAUCUGCCGUGGGCGCUGGAGAACUGAGGGGGGCUGCUCCUAGUACGAGAGGACCGGAGUGGACGCAUCACUGGUGUUCGGGUUGUCAUGCCAAUGGCACUGCCCGGUAGCUAAAUGCGGAAGAGAUAAGUGCU
RNAcentral lists this ribosomal RNA (2733 nucleotides) under Escherichia coli 6-537-08_S3_C3. Its description in RNAcentral is "bacterial LSU rRNA". It matches the Rfam family "Bacterial large subunit ribosomal RNA". Lineage: Bacteria; Pseudomonadati; Pseudomonadota; Gammaproteobacteria; Enterobacterales; Enterobacteriaceae. The record is from RNAcentral.